This 492-nucleotide ribosomal RNA is filed under the name uncultured bacterium. Its description in RNAcentral is "partial 16S ribosomal RNA". It matches the Rfam family "Bacterial small subunit ribosomal RNA", at positions 28 to 507 of the family's 1533-position model. The record is from RNAcentral.
GGUGAACGCUGGCGGCGUGCCUAACACAUGCAAGUCGAGCGACCAGACGGUAAGCUCGUGCUCUUGCGGUUAGCGGGGGACGGGCGAGUGAGACGUGCAUAGGCUUCUUAUUUGACGGGGAGGAUUACGGGAGACAGGAGACGAUAAUGGAGAAUAUAUUCUACGGGUGGGAGCAGGAGAGAUUGAGGGUUUGCGCGUUAGAAUGAGCCGGUGUCGCAUUAGCUAGUUGGCGGGGUAAGGGCACACCAAGGCGACGAUCCGUAGCUGGCCUGAGAGGAUGAUCAGCCACACUGGAACUGAGACACGGUCCAGACUCCUACGGGAGGCAGCAGUGGGGAAUAUUCGACAAUGGGCGCAAGCCUGACGCAGCCACACCGCGUGGGUGAAGAAGGUCUUCGGGUCGUAAAGCCCUUUUGUUGGGAAAGAAAAGCAGCAUGUUUAUACCUCGAUGUCCUGACGGUACCCAAAGAAUAAGCACCGGCUAACUUCGUG